AUUGAACGCUGGCGGCAGGCCUAACACAUGCAAGUCGAACGGUAACAGGAAGCAGCUUGCUGCUUCGCUGACGAGUGGCGGACGGGUGAGUAAUGUCUGGGAAACUGCUUGAUGGAGGGGGAUAACUACUGGAAACGGUAGCUAAUACCGCAUAACGUCGCAAGACCAAAGAGGGGGACCUUAGGGCCUCUUGCCAUCGGCUGUGCCCAGAUGGGAUUAGCUAGUAGGUGGGGUAACGGCUCACCUAGGCGACGAUCCCUAGCUGGUCUGAGAGGAUGACCAGCCACACUGGAACUGAGACACGGUCCAGACUCCUACGGGAGGCAGCAGUGGGGAAUAUUGCACAAUGGGCGCAAGCCUGAUGCAGCCAUGCCGCGUGUAUGAAGAAGGCCUUCGGGUUGUAAAGUACUUUCAGCGGGGAAGAAGGGAGUAAAGAUAAUACCUUUGCUCAUUGACGUUACCCGCGGAAGAAGCACCGGCUAACUCCGUG
RNAcentral lists this ribosomal RNA (490 nucleotides) under uncultured bacterium. RNAcentral's name for it is "partial 16S ribosomal RNA". It matches the Rfam family "Bacterial small subunit ribosomal RNA", at positions 30 to 507 of the family's 1533-position model. The record is from RNAcentral.